RNAcentral lists this ribosomal RNA (447 nucleotides) under uncultured bacterium. Its description in RNAcentral is "bacterial SSU rRNA". It matches the Rfam family "Bacterial small subunit ribosomal RNA", at positions 329 to 793 of the family's 1533-position model. The record is from RNAcentral.
GACCAGACUCCUACGGGAGGCAGCAGUGGGGAAUAUUGCACAAUGGGGGAAACCCUGAUGCAGCGACGCCGCGUGAGUGAAGAAGUAUUUCGGUAUGUAGAGCUCUAUCAGCAGGGAAGAAAAUGACGGUACCUGAUUAAGAAGCCCCGGCUAACUACGUGCCAGCAGCCGCGGUAAUACGUAGGGGGCAAGCGUUAUCCGGAUUUACUGGGUGUAAAGGGAGCGUAGACGGCGAGGUAAGCCUGAAGUGGAAGCCCGCGGCCCAACCGCGGAACUGCUUUGGGAACUGUUUUGCUGGAGUAUGGGAGGGGUAAGCGGAAUUCCUGGUGUAGCGGUGAAAUGCGUAGAUAUUAGGAGGAACACCAGUGGCGAAGGCGGCUUACUGGACUGUAACUGACGUUGAGGCUCGAAAGCGUGGGGAGCAAACAGGAUUAGAUACCCCGGUAC